This 1052-nucleotide long non-coding RNA is filed under the name Vigna radiata. RNAcentral describes it as "long non-coding RNA (VRAD_LNC003036)". Lineage: Eukaryota; Viridiplantae; Streptophyta; Magnoliopsida; Fabales; Fabaceae. The record is from RNAcentral.
ACAAAAAGAACAAAUAAAAUAUUAAAAAAAAUUCAAAAUUAAAAUCAAAUUACAGAUAAAUUGGUUAACCUAAUAUCAAAAGUUUAAUCACAUGUUAAACUUAUUAAUCCUAAUAUUUAUAUAUCGAUAAUAUAAAUAUUAAAUAAAACUAUUCUAAUAUUAAUAUAUUCUAAUAAAUACUAAAAUACACUAAGUUAACUAAUGCUUAUAAUAUUUAAAUUAUAGCAUAUUGUACAACAUAUAAUAUAUAGAAAUAUAACAGAUUAUAACAUAUUCUACCAAGGUGAAUAUAACCAAUUCCUUCAAUACUUCCAGCACAUUAAAAUAAUCCACGUUUAAUAUUACUCAUGAAUAAAAAAUUUUCAAACCAUUUACUCCAACCCAUGUACACCCUCAUGCACACUCCCAUCCCUACAUGAUAAUCCAAGUCUUGGAGACACCCCUUCCCCGACGCAGGUGCUUAAUCUUGCAUGCAAAAACUCUCCUCCUUUCUCUUCUUUCUCUUUUACUAGAAACCCAAAGACCAUUCUCUCUCUUUAACACUCACCAUACCUAUCUCUUCCUAUUACUCCACACUCACUGCCAUCUUCAUCCAUCUUCCACUCACUGCCCAAACUGUCUUUCACUCUUAUAUUCCUUCGACUCAUAUUUCUCUUGUUCUAUAACUCACAGAGUCUCUCUUUCUCAAACAACUCGUCACUCUCCUUCCUACUACUUUUUCUUCAACAUUCACCCAUUUCACUACACCUAAGUCCUAUCUUAUUCUUCUACACUUACGAAUCACACACCACUCAUCACUGCACUCCAACAUCCACACUCAUAACAUUCACCACAUAUCUACGCUCAACUAACCCAAACACUACACCCUUAUCUACACGUAACCGAGAGAGAAUCUACCAUCUCCUUUACAAUGAAAACAACUACUAACUAAAACUACAUUAGGCUACAUUGCUCCAGGGAAGAAAACUAAAAACUAAAACUACCAUAAUUAAUACCUAAUACAUGAAACAACUAAUACCUAAUACAUGAAACACAUAAAAUCCAAAACAUGU